Molecule: long non-coding RNA, 1821 nt
Organism: Anolis carolinensis (green anole)
Lineage: Eukaryota; Metazoa; Chordata; Lepidosauria; Squamata; Anolidae
Source: Ensembl
GAAGGUAACGGCGCUCCAUGCAGUCAUGCCGGCCACAUGACCUUGGAGGUGUCUACGGACAACGCCGGCUCUUCGGCUUAGAAAUGGAGAUGAGCACAACCCCCAUAGUCAGACAUGACUAGACUUAACAUCAGGGGAAAACCUUUACCUUUACCUAUAUAGUCAAUGUAGACCAAGCAUAGGCAAACUUGGGCCUCCAGUCGUUUGGACUUCAACGCUCACAAUUCCUAACAGCUGGUAUACUGUUAGGAAUUGUGGGAGUUGAAGUCCAAAACACCUGGAGGGCCCUGAUUUGCCCACGCUUGAUGUAGACCCAUAUGAUAGUUUGAACUGAAUUGUAUGGGUCUACACCAGGCAUGGCCAAACUUUGGCUCGCCAGGUGUUUUGUAUUUCAAUUCCCACAAUACCUAACAGCAUACUAGCUGUUAGGAAUUGUGAGAGUUGAAGUCCAAAACACCUGGCGAGCCAAAAUUUGCGCAUGCCUGGUCUACAAACUGUAUUAUAGGGCAGUGUGGACCCAGCCUAGGACUCUGGAGACCGGAGUUCGACCUUGGGCGAGUCACACUCAUUCAGCCUCAGAAAACCCCGCCAUCAUUUACAAACACAACAACAACAACAAGGUUAAGAGGAGUGCAAGGAGGAGAUCAAGAAACACAGCAGGUGGUGCCUCUCCUAUCGGGACAUGGAGACUCAAACAGCGCCAGGAAUAACAAGCUCCUGCUAUUGACGCUCUCCCUCCCCUUUUCGCCAAGACCCGGACGUGACGUACAAACCCGCGGUCCAAUGCAAGGUGCGCCGGAAGUGAGCCUUUUGGAGACGAGCGUGUGGUGAAGGGCCGGCAAGAUGGUGAGUGUCUUCCCGGACCCGGGUUUUUAACCAAGGCCUAGUCGGCCUAGGUUAAUUUUUUCGCUUCUUCAGCAUGUUAUGAGCAUACUAGCAAGUGUGAAUGGUGCAAUUGGCCACCUUGAUUAGCAUCGAAUGCCCUUGCAGCUUCAAAGUCUGGCUGCUUCCUGCCUGGAGUACAUUAGGGUAGCUAAUUUUAUAUGUCGUACGCCGCUUUGAAUUCCACCCACGCAGACAAGCGGGAUAUUAAUAAUAAUAAUAAUACAGUAGAGUCUCACUUAUCCAAACCUCGCGUAUCCAAGCUUCUGGAUUAUCCAAGCCAUUUUUGUAGUCAAUGUUUUCAAUAUAUCAUGAUACUUCGGUGCUAAAUUUGUAAAUACAGUCAUUACAACAUAAGAUUACUGCAUAUUGAACUAUUUUUUCUGUCAAAUUUGUUGUAUAACAUGAUGUUUUGGCACUUAAUUUGUAAAAUCAUAACCUAAUUUGAUGUUUAAUAGGCUUUUCCUUAAUUCCUCCUUAUUAUCUAAGAUAUUCGCUUAUCCAAGCUUCUGCUGGCUCGUUUAGCUUGGCUAAGUGAGACUCUACUGUAAUAAUAAUAAUAACUUCAAUAAAGGAUUUCCUCAAGCAGGAAGCAGCCAGACUUUGAAGCUGCAAGGCCAUUCAAUGCUGAUCAAGGUGGCCAAUUGCAACGUUCACAUUUGCCUCAAGGUGGAGCCCCUGGUGGCGCAAUGGGUUAAACCCUUGUGCCGGCAGGACUGCUGACAGAAAGGUUGCCAGUUCGAAUUCGGGGAGAGCAGGUGAGCCCCCUCUGUCAGCUCCAGCUCCCCAUUUAUUUAUUUACAGUAUUUAUAUUCCAUUCUUCUCACCCCGAAGGGGAAUCAGGGCAAAUCACAAUGUACAUAUACAUAGUAAACAUUCAAUGCCGUUAGACAUACGGCACACACAGAUAGAGACACAGAGGCUAUUUAACAUUUUCCA